Molecule: transfer RNA, 76 nt
Filed under: Aliiroseovarius sp.
Lineage: Bacteria; Pseudomonadati; Pseudomonadota; Alphaproteobacteria; Rhodobacterales; Paracoccaceae
Description: tRNA-Glu
Rfam family: tRNA
About the family: Transfer RNA (tRNA) molecules are approximately 80 nucleotides in length. Their secondary structure includes four short double-helical elements and three loops (D, anti-codon, and T loops).
Source: RNAcentral
GCUCCCAUCGUCUAGCGGUUCAGGACUCCGCCCUCUCACGGCGGCAACAGGGGUUCGAAUCCCCUUGGGAGUACCA